This 299-nucleotide small nuclear RNA is filed under the name Castor canadensis (American beaver). Its description in RNAcentral is "7SK RNA (ENSCCNG00000008917.1)". It matches the Rfam family "7SK RNA". From Rfam's summary of the family: 7SK was discovered as an abundant small nuclear RNA in the mid-70s but a possible function has only recently been suggested. Two independent studies have found that 7SK RNA binds the CDK9/cyclin T complex (known as elongation factor P-TEFb). P-TEFb activates transcription by phosphorylating the C-terminal domain of RNA polymerase II. Lineage: Eukaryota; Metazoa; Chordata; Mammalia; Rodentia; Castoridae. The record is from Rfam by way of RNAcentral.
AGAUGUGAGGGCGAUCUGGCUGCGAUAUCUGUCACCUCAUUAAUUGCCAGGGUUGAUUCUUCUGAUCUGGCUGGCUAGGUGGGUGUCCCCUUCCUCCCUCACUGCUCCAUGUGCGUCUCUCCUGAAGCUGCAUGCUCUGUCCAAAAGGAUGACCAUCCCUGAUAGAGGAGGACCAUUCUUUGGUCAAGGAUAUAUGACUAGCUCCGCUCUCCUGCUAACCUCCAAAUGAGCUCUCAAGGACUGGUUUUGCAUAAUUCUGAGUGAGGUUAGCCAGGCUCAAAAGACCAAAAAUCGUAUUU